UGUUCAGUUUCUGCCAGCUGGCUUUCUGUUUGCUCUCUGCGAUUGCUACAAGCACUCGAUUCUUAUUAAGGUUUGUAGAGUACCUAAAUAAAUACUGCAUACUCCACCCUCUUUAAACACCUCAGAGAAUGUGGUCUAAGCAGUUUGCAAAGCCUGUCCAGAAGUAAAGAGAGUUUCAAAUUACAAACCCAUGCAUGUGUGUGCAAGAACAUAUACAUGGGAAAAGGUGCUUGGCAUUCCUCUAUAACCUCCUCCUCCCCGAGACCUCAAGGUCCUUCAUUAGCAGCACUAUGACCCUCCAAGCACUCUGCUGACACAAAGAAAUAUAAAGGGUUUUUAUGAAUCCUAUUAGAACCUCCAGAUUCAGACUGAGGUAGGAUUUGAGAUCUCUGUGUUACUAGAGAGAAAAAAUAGUAUUGUUAUGGGAGACUUUGGCUUUCUUGAUGUCAAGUGGAGAUCAAAGGUUGUUAAUAAUGGUAAAGCCUAUGUAUCCCUGGGGGCUUGCAGCCCAUAAAUUUCUUCAUAAAGUCAGCUCUGAACUGCCCAGAAGGGAUGUGAUUUCAGACUUUGUGUCUGAAGUAGAGGACAUGUAAUAGCUAGCCAUGGAAAAUUAGCUUGGAUCAAGUGAUCAUGAGUGGAUUCAUGAGUGGAAUGGAAAGACAAAAUUAGAUUUGAAGCUUCUGGGAAGACUCUUCAUUUUGCAAAAGCAGCUCCUAAGAGAUAGAGGGAAGAUGUUAUGGAAGUUAAUGAAGCCAGCUGACCUGGCAGGCUCCAGAAGGGGAACAAGACAGGAGAAUGGAAUGAUUUUAAGUCAAAGAUGCUAAACACCUGGAGCUUGCAUCCCUCAUAAAGGUUUAAAUCUUGUAGAAAAUAAUUGAGGUCUACCUGGUUGAAUAGUGGUUUUAAGGAGGAAGUUGGGGAUAAACAGGAAUAAGCUGGAAUAAUAAACAUGAAUAAGAGAAGAAAGAGCUCUCUUACAUGAUGAGGAAGCGCAAGGCUAAAGGGCACAGCACAAACCAGGUGAGGCAUGGGGUUCAAGGUAAAGCCGACAUCAGCAGUGAGAUCCAGGUCUGACUUAUCCACUCCUGGAGGGGGGCGAAAAACAAAUUUGCGGAGCAAGCCCCCAAAAAAGAGGAACAGCUCCAUUUUGGCCAGUCCUUCACCAAGGCAAGCCCUUCGUCCUGAAAACAACCAGGAGAGAAGUUAAUGAUCAGUACUGUAACUGUUAAUGUUGAUCUCUGAGACCUAAACUGGAGAUACAGUCUGUAAGAGCAGACUGCUGAGGCAGCUCUCCUGGUUCAAUGACACGGUUCAUUUCUUCUUGAAUCUUUCCUUAGAAGGAGGAAAGGAUUAAGAAGCUGAUAACAAUCUUACCUUGCACCUGAAAUGACUUACAGUUUGGCAAAGACGAAGAAAAGGGAAAACUAUGAAUAUUUGGGAAGAGCAGAAGUGGGAAGGUUUGGGAUGAUCUCCUCCUUGUGUGUGCUGAGUGGUAACUUAUGUUACCACAUGGGACAUCAUGACAAGCUUUUAACCAGCAGUUUCAGUGGAGCCAUGGAAUAAGUCCAGCACAGCUCACUAUACAGAACCAGAGAUGUGUUCUGCACGGGCCAGCUGGUUGAUAAUGUUCCUGUUUUCAAGAAGCAAGUUGUGGGAGGCCAGGAGAACAAACAUGGACAACUGGAUAUCCCCCCAAAAUCUAAAAGUUACAACAUAAAAUAGAGCUCUUACCAGCACCAUAGGGGAGCCCAACAGCUUAGUAUUUUGAUUUAUCAUCCCCAGCAAAGUUAGAAAUACAGGAUCAUCAUAUUCAAACCUCUCUCCAAACAAUAUCGAGCAGAUGACAUUGGAUACAGCAUUGUUGAGUAUCAUUUUCGUAUCAAAUGGUUUCCCUGUGUUUCAAGCAAUUAAAAGAAAGGACAAUGGGAUUAUGCUUUUUUCAGUCUGAUUUCCCAUGGAAAUACAGUCCUGAGCUCCCAAAGAAAACUCAUUCCCCACCCAGAAUGCAUGGCAGGGAACUCAGUUUCAGUGUUUUAAGGCCUCGGUUCAAUAACCUACUGCAGAAUAUGCUGAACUUUAACCACGAGAUACCAUUUACUCAGAGUUAAACUUUCAUUAAUUUUUAUUGUUCUGCUAGACCUGUUUUCUGUCUCUGGAUGAAAGACUUGACACUCACCAUGAUAGGAUUCAAAAUAUUUGAUAAGGGAAUUUACUUCCUCCAGGAUUCGGAUCUCAAGGGUUCUCUUUCCCAUUCCAAAAUCUCGCAGUGUGGACAAGAUCACAAAGAGUGAUCUGUAUGAUGGUGAUACUCUCUGCUGUAAGAAGCAUGAUUUAAAAGGGCGUCCUUGAUGGUUUCAUAUCCAGCCAGUACCACGACUUUCCUGGGUCCAAAAUGCACAGUGAAGACGUUGCCAUAUGUCUUGGAUAGCUGACAAGGGGAAUAAAUACGUUCAUUCAAAACCAGAUCGGGACUCAAACGCUACUACAAGCCAUCCUUGGUGGUUUUCAGACCAAAAGGAGCCUCUUAGCCCCGCCUGAAGUCUCCAGGUGCUGCUGUAAUUCAAGUAAUGAGCAACAGCUAUCGAUUGCCAGCAUCUCAGCUUGCACCCUGUUUGCACAACAAGGUGUCUGCUAUCACUGCUUCUAUCAGAGGAGUCAAUAAAAUGCCAUUGCAUUCCUGUGGUGUUCUGUAGUAACAGGCCAGUGCAGUGAUACCACACUGGGAGGCUGGUUGGAGAAUGCUGUGGCAGGCAGGCCUGUUUAUUGUAAUGCUGUUGACCUGAGGCAAGUGGGCGUGCACACACCUUUGAGGCUGAAGCCACAAACACUGCAAAAACAAAGCUAGACAAUAACUCUUUCUUUCAGGACAGCACUUGUCUCUAAUUAUGGCAAGGUGCGUAGUGAUGCAGUCAUUGCAGAAUUAUUUGCUGGCCACCAGGAACUGGAAUCCAACUAGGAAGCAUGUUCUUGUAGAUAAUGCCACAGGAACACUAGGCUUUUAUAGCAAAUUAAAUAUGGAUCAUCUGUUACACAGAAAGGUAGCUUUGACAAGCUAAUCAUUCAUUUGGUAUUUUAGACUUCGUUUAAACACACUUCAAGCCACCAGCUCCAAAUGUCUUCUUGUUUCUGAUGUGCCUGGCUUACCAUUUGCUAUGCAUUAGAUACAUUCCACAAAUUGAAUUUCAGAUUAGAAGCAGCUCCUGUUAUUACACUAGACAAAUUGAAUUUGUUUUCAUCAAAUGCUGGUUUGACGGCUUGGGAGAUAACAUUAGCACUGGUUCUUUCAUCUCUGGCAGCUCACAGAGUGUGCAGCAGAGCCAGGGGCAGGGAAUCACAGCUGCCUCCGAGCCUUCCUUUGGUCAUUUCUUUGCAUUAGUGCUUCUUGGCAUCCACUCUGUUUUUACUCAGAAACACAAGUAUUGGAUGUGGAAGGCCUGAAAGCCUAAAUAAAGCUGCUUGGUGGAUUACAGGAAAUGAGUCUGGUGCCAUCACAUGACAUUUGUAUUAUAAAAUCUCACAGUACUGCCAAAAAUAGUUGCUCUUUCAUACUGACAUCCUCAAACAUGCCUAGGAUCAGCUGGGAGCUCAGUACCAGAAGCCCAUCAAAACUGGUCUCUGCACAAUCCUCUGCACUGUAAAUCAGGGUGGAUGAGCACUGCAUGCCUGCUAGAGGAAUUCCAUUAUUUUGCAGCCCAGGAUGCCCUUUUUUCUACAAUUAACUGGAGGAUUUCAGUGUCUGCACUGCCCUCUCACUGCAGAUGUUCAAGUGGCUGAAGGAGUUCACUGCAGACUGGCUUUCCUCCAUCACAGUGUCCAGUCCACCACGUUCAAGUUUCCGAUCAGAGGAAGAGGCCGUGGCCCAGGAGGCAAACUGCAAGCUGACUUCUUCGAGCUGGUGAGAAAGUAAAGGAGAGCAAACAGCCCUGCUGCCAAACAGAGCAGCGAGCUGGAGCCCAAGUACUGCAGGAAACUCUGCAUGGCCAUGUCCAAAUCCAAGUGUGGGCAUGAGCGUCUUGGGGUCCCUUUAUAGCCCUUCUGUCAUUUCCUGAACACACCUUCUGGGGAAGCAGCUUUGUGCAGAGAAAAGGACUCUGUGGUCUUGUUAACAUCCAUUUAGACCAGAUGUACUUCAUUAUGCUGACGAAUAAACCACCCUGUUUUAUUCUGAGCCAUGGAUUAUUGUAAUCAGGAGCUCCUGUUUCAUCUAUAACACUGGGGCAAGGUGUUUGUUUUCCAGUGAAAAUCUGUGUUAUGGGCAUGUUGUUCUCUGCAUUAUUUCAGGGGCAGAACUCAGGGAUAGGACCCAAGCUGGAUUGCUGCCAUGGUGCCAGGUCACAGGACUCAGAUGGACCACUGGUGAUGCAAUGGAGGAAGUAGGACACAGGAGGGAAAGCCCAUAAUAACGCAUAGACCAGGGUGCAGCUGGCAAGCAAGCCCUCAGGAAAGACAAGACUGACCAUGGAGGAGUUGGAAUGGUGGUUGCAUGAAGUUGUGCUAAUUCAAAAUUGCUGUUGGUAGUAGAUCUAUUUACAGGUGACAGUUCUGAUUCUCUUUGCUUUCCUGCCACCCCAGUGAAACCACCUCCUUGAGCAACACAGUGUUUUCGUUGCUAGAGUUGUUAUUGAUCUUUGUCCCAAAAAUUGUCUACAAGCAAUUCCAAACCACUCCUGAAACCACUUCAGUCAUUAUUUUGCAGUUUACUGUCCAGAGGACUGUGUGUCCACGUCUGGCUCUGUGUUUGGUGAUGACUCCUUCUGUUUGUGGGCAGAUGCAUGCAAUCCUCUAGGAGAAACCGUCCCCUCCAGGCAGUCCUUCUUGCCUAGACUGGGAAAGAGAUCCUGAACCUUUGUAACCUGGGAGGAGGCAGGAUCAGAGCGCAGCUGUCCAGGCAGAGGAUGGAGGCUGCCUGGGCAGCUGUUGCAGAGGGGGUGCCAGGCAGGAGGAGCACACAGCAGCAGUUUUUUGGCCCUCCAGGUGCAGUGAGUCAUGCACCAUGCCAGGGCAGGGGCCUGCAAGAGCCCGCGUGCCCAGGAGACAGCUCCCCAAGAGCCACCUACACUCUGCAUCCUGGGGGGAUGACAGCACAGCUGACGUGAUCAUGAACAGGAGGCCACUGCUGAAAAGGUAACUCUGGGGGAAAGAGCCAACUUGACGGUCUAUCACCUAUUCUCAAGUGGGGAUAUUUUGUUCCCCAGUUGCAGAUUCUAUCAGAUUACUGGGCUGUGCUGCUGUUCACCCCUUUAGAAAUCUUUAGCUUUAAUAAUACUUUUGCUAGAAUUCUCCAAGGCUCCCGGGUGCAGGCUCCACUGAUGGAAAAAUGAUGAUUAUUUAUUAAUAAUAAUAAAAGUACAUUAGCCGAAGGCAAGGGGAAUCAAUAACUCUAACUAGAUUGACAUGAAAAAGGUGUCUGCUCAUGUGCCUGCACAUCUGCCUGUUCUCCAAAGCUUGUUAUCAGGAGUGGAGUUUUUCACAAGGGAGAACUUUCCUGUGCAGAAGAGGACUAAGCAGGGUGGGCAAAGAAAAGAGGGCAGCGGAUGGUCACGUCAGUCUGAAGAUUUGCUGCACAAUUAUGAGGUCUUUUUCUGCACCCACUUCUCCCAGACAUUUCCAAGAAUAUCAGAUUCUUCUCUGAGUAAAUGGUGUGGCCAUGGGGACUCCUGAUGCUUUGUAACACACAGUAAGAGGGAGGAAAAAACCCUACGUGGGGCCAGUUGGGUACCAGUGGAGGAAAUCUAUCGUUUCUGUUUACAUACAGCUCUGUUGGGAUGGAGCUGGCUGCUGCCAUAGCAAGCAAGAGAACCUUCCCAAGGGCUUCCAAUCUGUUUCAAACUUCAGGUUGUACCUGGUGACAAUAGAGGGCGAAACCCUUUCUCAAAUGGUGAGCCUGUGGACUUGCAACCUGAUGGACUGGUGUAUGCACUGUGGGAAUUAAUGGAGGAGCUAUCCAUCGGGUGGGAAUGAUUGCAGUCUUAAAAUACAGCCAAUCUGAUGUCCUCACCUUCAAUUCUUCCUCACAUGCUUUGGCUUCCAGUAUGCAACUCUGAACACAGCCUACAACUGAGUUGCUGGCUUGCUGGUGAGGCAUCCCACACUGGACUGGGGAGAAAACGUUGCUCCCUGCUCACGUGUCUUUGUCUGUCUACCAGCCCAAGCCAGAACUGAUACUAUCUUAAGGUAAGCAGACUUUGUGGGCACAGCUCAGUUCCUCCUAGAAAAUGAGCCUGCACAUUAAACAGCCACAGUAAUUUCUGUGUGCUCAUCUGGAGAAGGUCAUAUCAUCUUCUAAUGGGACACAGGUUAACAAUGCUACAGUAACCGUAGGAUAAUGCAGGGAAAGGGUUGUUAUAAGGCCAUAAUUCAGUCAAUGACUGCUGAUAACAUAAUAAACCAUGAGAGUGAACACCAAGUGCUUGUGUGCCUUGCAAGGCUCUGUCACUGAUUUACAGCCUCUGGAGAUGCCUAUCAGCCCGUGCAUUGUUAUCAGGGAUAUAUAAAGCCUGAGCACACCCUAUUAAACAUUAACAUUUUUAAAGACCCAGAUGUGUUAAAACUCAGGCUGCUCCUUGCUAAUGGAUUUUGCUUGCCCUGACAAAUGCCACUGCAAAAAGAAAUCAAAAGCUUCCCGACUUUGACCUCUUUCAAUUUUUCAUCAUUAUUGCAUUGCUUUAUUGGAUUACACCCACUUCUUCCCACCCUGACAAUCUGUAUUUCUGCAGGAUCACUAUAGGGUGGUGAUCAGUAUCUCAGGUGUUCACUGUGCUCAUUUUCAUACAAAUAACUUGUUUCUUUUCACUUAUCUGUCAAAUCAGUGUGGGUUGCAAAUCCACUUUGAGAAGAAAGACUCCUGAAAAAAUAUUUUAAAAAAUCAUUAUUUCACUGCAAAAAAAUUUUUUUAAAGACUCAUGGGGGGUUUUUUUACAUAUUCUGGGCUGAAAGAAUUUAUGUGAUGGGUCUGGUCACUGAGAGAAGAAAAUGAAAAAUAUCCGUGUAUGGGAUUAGUGCAUUGUUCCUGUGCAGAGCCUAAGGUGACAGUAU
Empidonax traillii (willow flycatcher) is the source of this 7035-nucleotide long non-coding RNA. RefSeq lists it as uncharacterized. The transcript is spliced from 8 exons. Lineage: Eukaryota; Metazoa; Chordata; Aves; Passeriformes; Tyrannidae. The record is from RefSeq and is a predicted model, not a curated record.